RNAcentral lists this unclassified non-coding RNA (76 nucleotides) under Oryza sativa (Asian cultivated rice). RNAcentral describes it as "B dENE construct from Oryza sativa (PDB 7LJY, chain B)". Lineage: Eukaryota; Viridiplantae; Streptophyta; Magnoliopsida; Poales; Poaceae. The record is from RNAcentral.
GGGUACUCUUUUCUUUGUCAUGGUUUUCUCAGGCGAAAGUCUGAGUUUUUACAUGACAAAGUUUUUAACGAGGCCC